Molecule: ribosomal RNA, 382 nt
Filed under: uncultured eukaryote
Lineage: Eukaryota
Description: partial 18S ribosomal RNA
Rfam family: Eukaryotic small subunit ribosomal RNA
Source: RNAcentral
CAAUAGCGUAUAUUAAAGUUGUUGCAGUUAAAAAGCUCGUAGUUGGAUUUCUGGUUGAAGCGACCGGUCGGGCGUUGAUUCGUCUGCACUGGAGUCGGUUUUGGCCAUCCUCUAGGAAAGUGCGUCUGGUAUUAAGUUAUCGGGCGUAUGAUCCUGGUCUUUUACUGUGAAAAAAUUAGAGUGUUUAAAGCAAGCCUUCGCCUUGAAUACAUUAGCAUGGAAUAAUAAGAUAGGACUUUGGUCUAUUUUGUUGGUUUGCAGACCGAAGUAAUGAUUAAUAGGGAUAGUUGGGGGUAUUUAUAUUCCGAUGUCAGAGGUGAAAUUCUUAGAUUUUCGGAAGAUAAACUUAUGCGAAAGCAUUUACCAAGGAUGUUUUCAUUAA